RNAcentral lists this transfer RNA (84 nucleotides) under Candidatus Saccharimonadota bacterium. RNAcentral describes it as "tRNA-Tyr". It matches the Rfam family "tRNA". From Rfam's summary of the family: Transfer RNA (tRNA) molecules are approximately 80 nucleotides in length. Their secondary structure includes four short double-helical elements and three loops (D, anti-codon, and T loops). The record is from RNAcentral. Lineage: Bacteria; Candidatus Saccharimonadota.
GCGCGGGUAUGCAAGUGGUUGAAGCAAGCGGACUGUAAAUCCGUGACGUAAGAUACAUCGUUGGUUCAAAUCCAACCCCUCGCA